This 21-nucleotide non-coding RNA is filed under the name Caenorhabditis elegans. Lineage: Eukaryota; Metazoa; Nematoda; Chromadorea; Rhabditida; Rhabditidae. The record is from RNAcentral.
UUUCUGCAAUGAUCUGUUUCC